AGAAGAAGGGAAAUGGAAAAAAGGAAAAGAAGAAGCUAAAGAAAAAAGACAAAACAGACGAUGGAGAUGAGGAAGAUGGAAAGAAGGAUUCUAAACCAAAAGGGAGAAUGAGACGAUUUUUUGCCUGCCUUUGCUGUUGCCUUAGGAAAAACGGAGAAGACUAAAUUAGACCAUCUGCAUAACGUCGAUAAUUUUUAUGAUGAAGAUAAUUUUCAGAUUUUUUAAUUAGGAAAAUGAGCCACCUAUUUAACGUCGAUUGUUUUUUUUUAAUGAUAAAGAUAUUUUUCAAAUUUUUGUGACCAAGAAGGAGAACCAUCUAUAUAACGUCGAUAAUCUGUUUUUAUUAGCUAAUCUGAGCUCAAGUGAGCUCAAAAACGCCCUCUGAUCGAAAUGCGUCCUUUGUCUGUCCUCGUAAACUUUUUACAAUUUCAUCUUCUUCUCCAGAACUAGUGGCCAAAUUUCAACCAAACUUGGCACAGAGUAUCCGUAGGUAAAAUAAAAUCAAAUUUAUGCAAACGAAGGGCCACGCCCUCUUUUAAGGGGAAAUAAUUACAAAUUAGUAACAGAUAUUAGAAAUUAAAAAUCUCAAGAACCAAUGUGCCGGUAAAGAUGAAACUAAUGUCACCCUCAGGUAGUGAAGAUUCAGGUUUGUUCAAAUCAUGACCCCCAGAGCAGGAAUGGGCCACAAUGGCGAAUUAUAGUUUUACAUAGGAAUAUACAGGAAAAGUCUUGAAAAAUAUAAUCUACUCAAGAGCAAUGCCAUGCUUAGGUAUAUUUAUAGAUUGUGUAUAUUCAGAUUUGUUCAAAUCACGACCCGGGGGUAGGGUGGAACCAUAAAGUAAAAACUUAUAGGGAAAAUGUCACAGUUAGUCUAAGAAAUGAGCAUCUAUAUUAAGUGUAGAUUCAAUUUUGUUUGAAUCAUAGCCCAUCCCCCUUUUAGGGAUAGGUUGGGUCCACUUAUGCAGUGAAGCUUUUCAUAGUUGAACUGCAUGAUUUUUGCUAGUUUUCCUAUCCACGGUGCUCAGGUGAGCGAUGUGGUUCCAUAAGCGUUUUGUGAUAAGGGUGAUUUUCACUUGAAUGACCACCUACACAACCUUUAUUGUUUUGUAUUUAUGAUAAAGAUGAUUGUUAGAUUUUUGUAAGCAAGGAAGUGAGCCACCUAAAUAAUAUCGAUUGUUUUGUGUAUCUGAUGAAGAUAAUUUUCACAGUUUUGUGGCCAAGGAAAAGAGCCACCUAAAUAACAUGAUGAUUGUUUUGUAUUUAUGAUAGAGAUAAUUUUUAGAUUGUUGUAACCAAGGAAAUGAGCCGCCUGAAUAACAUCGAUUGUUUUGUUUAUAUGAUGAAAAUUUUACAUUUUUAAGACCAAGGAAA
This is a long non-coding RNA of Saccostrea cuccullata (small rock oyster), 1371 nucleotides long. RefSeq lists it as uncharacterized. Lineage: Eukaryota; Metazoa; Mollusca; Bivalvia; Ostreida; Ostreidae. The record is from RefSeq and is a predicted model, not a curated record. The transcript has 3 exons.